UAAGAUCUUCCUAAGGGCGUGUUUGAUUCGCUUUUUUUUCACCAUAGAAUUAGAAUCGAAAUGGGUGAAUCCGUUUGUGAGUGUUUGGUAUACGGAAAUCCCAUUCCGAUUUCGAUUCUUGAGCGGAAUGGGAAUUCCCCAAUCACCCUUUUUUUCAAUCCGGCCUAAGAAGCCGGAUUAAAAGUUUAAUCAGGACAAAAUAGAUAUUUAUUUGGAUUAAAUUUAUUUUUUCAACUUUUUAAAUUAAAAUAUGAGUUUAAAUUUAGAAAUUAAAUUUUUUAUUUUUUAUUUUAAUUUGAACUUGAAUUAAAAAUUAAAAUUUAAUCAAGUAUUUCGAAUCUAACUUAUGAAUUUGAAUUUAUAUAAAGUUUUAUUCAAAUUUUAUUUAAAACUUAAAUAAAUUCAUGGAUUCAAAUUAAAAUUUAAAUUAUAAUUUUAAGUUUGAAUUUGAAUAAAUCGAAAUUUAGUUUUAUAUUUUGAAUUAUCCACUCAACUUCAAAGUUUAAUUUUUUUAAAAAAAAAUAGAUUUAAAAUUUUGACAUCAUUUCAAAAUUUUGAUGUAAAAUUUUAAUUUUUAAAUUUUAAUUUGAAUUUAAAUUAAUAUAUUUUAAAGAUAAAGUUAAUAUAUUAAUCUGAUUACGUUUUUUAUAUUUAACUGGACCAAACACCGACAAUGAGAAUAAUUUAUUCUGAUUCCGAUUCAGGUGAUGAACCAAACAGAAUUAAGUAAUGAGUCAUUCUGAUUUCGAUUCCAGCUUAUUUCGAUUCCGAUUCUGAUUCCGAUUCCGACUUCGAAUCAAACACGCCCUAAAAGUUAAUUGCCAAUAUAUUCACAAUAAAUUCACCAAAAAAUAAUAAUUUAAUCAAAAUUGCUAUAAAUUGCUCGCCAUCUCAAAUUUUGACGAAAUUAUUAAAUCCCUCAGUUUCAA
Molecule: long non-coding RNA, 929 nt
Filed under: Ananas comosus (pineapple)
Lineage: Eukaryota; Viridiplantae; Streptophyta; Magnoliopsida; Poales; Bromeliaceae
Description: long non-coding RNA (ACOM_LNC037493)
Source: RNAcentral